GUAGGGAAUAUUGGGCAAUGGGGGAAACCCUGACCCAGCAACGCCGCGUGAGGGAAGAAGGCCUAACGGUUGUAAACCUCUGUCAUAUGGGAAGAAGGAAUGACAGUACCAUAUGAGGAAGCUCCGGCUAACUACGUGCCAGCAGCCGCGGUAAUACGUAGGGAGCAAGCGUUGUCCGGAAUUACUGGGCGUAAAGGGUGCGUAGGCGGCAUGUUAAGUUAGAUGUCAAAUACCCGGGCUUAACCCGGGGACGCAUCUAAAACUGGCGUGCGUGAGUGCAGGAGAGGAAAGCGGAAUUCCUAGUGUAGCGGUGGAAUGCGUAGAUAUUAGGAGGAACACCAGUGGCGAAGGCGGCUGCCUGGACCGAUAUUGACGCUGAGACGCGAAAGCGUGGGGAGCAAACAGGAUUAGAAACCCGUGUAGUCC
This 426-nucleotide ribosomal RNA is filed under the name uncultured bacterium. RNAcentral describes it as "partial 16S ribosomal RNA". It matches the Rfam family "Bacterial small subunit ribosomal RNA", at positions 354 to 796 of the family's 1533-position model. The record is from RNAcentral.